Molecule: long non-coding RNA, 1091 nt
Filed under: Salvia miltiorrhiza (redroot sage)
Lineage: Eukaryota; Viridiplantae; Streptophyta; Magnoliopsida; Lamiales; Lamiaceae
Description: long non-coding RNA (SMIL_LNC000049)
Source: RNAcentral
AAUUCACAAUCUUCUCAAUAUCUGAAUCUCGAUCUGACUUCAAACCAAAAAAGGCAAUCAUCUCUCAUAUAUUCUCGAUCUUUGUCAUUCUCUUCUCAAUCUAACAACAUAUUUUCUGCAUUGAUUUGCCGAUUUUCCUAUUUCAAUUUACGCGAAGAAGAUGAGAAGAGACUUGCGAUCAAUAUUCAAGGUAAUCUCUCCACUACUCUCUCUAUAUUGUUAACUGAGUCGAUCUAUUAUCUAUAUAUUGUUGCCUCUAAUUUCACUUUUUUCCUCCUAUAUUUCUCCUAAUUUUAUUUUUAUUUUUAGAACAUGCAGUGAUACAUACAUUCGAAUACGUAUUUUUUUUCUGGAUCUGAGGCCAUUUUGAGGCACUUAAAGUGUGGAAACAACUUUUUGGGGUAAGUUUGUUUUGGUGGCUUUCUGUUGUACCUGUAGUUUAAUUUUAUUUAGUGACUGAAGUUUAUAUGUUAUCAGUGGCUUACUUUCCCUGAGAUGGAGGGGUUUUUUUCAGACGGAUAUUUUACUUUUUACUCUUCUUUCGAUUGUAAUGUUAUGAGAUUUCCUGCCUCUAUAUUUUUUUUCUUAAUUUGUCCGAAAAUGAUGAUGAUGAGAGUGAGGUAUAAUGCAUGAAAUACACCUCUGGUGUGUGUAGUAUGAUGCAUCAAAUAAUUUACUCUAUGUAAACUGAUAUAAAGGAACACACAUUUUUUUGGGGAAUUUAACUUUCUCAAAAAUUUAUAUGGUUUAGGCACACUUUUUCAGCAACUUCACAGCUUUCUCCAUAUUGAAACGAUCUGGACAGAGAAAGGUAUGAUUGCAUUAUUAUGUUCUUUUAAGUGAUUGUUUUUGCUGCAUAUUUGAAAUGUUGGAUUGGUAUUGUAGAUAAUCUAAAUGUUAUAUAUGCUUGUAGGUACUAUCUCAUGGAUAAAAGUUGGAGCAAUGAUAAUAAUAGAUUUUCUAAAACUUACAUCGAAGGAGUGGAAUCAUUUAUUAACUUUGCAAAAGAAAAUGUUAAUGGGCUCCACCACCACAACUUUAAGAAAGUUGUCUGCCAAUAUACACAACUUUAAGAAAGUUGUCUGCCAAAG